Molecule: microRNA precursor, 92 nt
Filed under: Drosophila guanche
Lineage: Eukaryota; Metazoa; Arthropoda; Insecta; Diptera; Drosophilidae
Source: RNAcentral
UAAUGAUAAUUAUGAUGACUGUGAUGAUGAUGAUUGGAGUCAUGUGAUUGAGUUUGCGAUUACAUUCAUCAUCAUUAUGGCCAUUAGCCGCA